UACGGGGGGGCAAGCGUUGUUCGGAAUUACUGGGCGUAAAGGGUUCGUAGGUGGCUUGCUAAGUCAGACGUGAAAUCCCUCAGCUUAACUGGGGAACUGCGUCUGAGACUGGCAAGCUUGAGUGCAGGAGAGGAACGCGGAAUUCCAGGUGUAGCGGUGAAAUGCGUAGAUAUCUGGAGGAACACCGGUGGCGAAGGCGGCGUUCUGGACUGUAACUGACACUGAAGAACGAAAGCCAGGGGAGCAAACGGG
Molecule: ribosomal RNA, 252 nt
Filed under: uncultured bacterium
Lineage: Bacteria
Description: partial 16S ribosomal RNA
Rfam family: Bacterial small subunit ribosomal RNA
Source: RNAcentral